CCAGAGAUGGAUUGGUGCCUUCGGGAACUCUGACACAGGUGCUGCAUGGCUGUCGUCAGCUCGUGCGUGAGAUGUUGGGUUAAGUCCGUAACGAGCGCAACCCUUGUCCUUAGUUACCAGCACGUUAUGGUGGGCACUCUAAGGAGACUGCCGGUGACAAACCGGAGGAAGGUGGGGAUGACGUCAAGUCAUCAUGGCCCUUACGGCCUGGGCUACACACGUGCUACAAUGGUCGGUACAAAGGGUUGCCAAGCCGCGAGGUGGAGCUAAUCCCAUAAAACCGAUCGUAGUCCGGAUCGCAGUCUGCAACUCGACUGCGUGAAGUCGGAAUCGCUAGUAAUCGUGAAUCAGAAUGUCACGGUGAAUACGUUCCCGGGCCUU
This 381-nucleotide ribosomal RNA is filed under the name uncultured Pseudomonas sp. RNAcentral describes it as "bacterial SSU rRNA". It matches the Rfam family "Bacterial small subunit ribosomal RNA", at positions 1000 to 1382 of the family's 1533-position model. Lineage: Bacteria; Pseudomonadati; Pseudomonadota; Gammaproteobacteria; Pseudomonadales; Pseudomonadaceae. The record is from RNAcentral.